RNAcentral lists this ribosomal RNA (440 nucleotides) under uncultured bacterium. RNAcentral's name for it is "partial 16S ribosomal RNA". It matches the Rfam family "Bacterial small subunit ribosomal RNA", at positions 339 to 795 of the family's 1533-position model. The record is from RNAcentral.
CUACGGGGGGCUCCAGUGGGGAAUAUUGCACAAUGGAGGAGACUCUGAUGCAGCAACGCCGCGUGGAGGAUGACACUUUUCGGAGCGUAAACUCCUUUUAUAUAGGAAGAAGAUGACGGUACUAUAUGAAUAAGCGCCGGCUAACUCCGUGCGCAGCAGCCGCGGUAAUACGGAGGGCGCAAGCGUUACUCGGAAUCACUGGGCGUAAAGAGCGUGUAGGCGGAUUAAAAAGUCAGAAGUGAAAUCCUAUAGCUUAACUAUAGAACUGCUUCUGAAACUCUUAAUCUAGAAUAUGGGAGAGGUAGAUGGAAUUUCUGGUGUAGGGGUAAUAUCCGUAGAGAUCAGAAGGAAUACCGAUUGCGAAGGCGAUCUACUAGAACAUUAUUGACGCUGAGACGCGAAAGCGUGGGGAGCAAACAGGAUUAGAUACCCUCGUAGUC